Molecule: ribosomal RNA, 371 nt
Filed under: uncultured organism
Description: bacterial SSU rRNA
Rfam family: Bacterial small subunit ribosomal RNA
Source: RNAcentral
CGGAGGGGGCUAGCGUUGUUCGGAAUUACUGGGCGUAAAGGGCGCGUAGGCGGCCGUUUAAGUUAGGUGUGAAAGUCCUGGGCUCAACCUGGGGACUGCACUUAAUACUGGAUGGCUUGAAUUCGGGAGAGGAUAGCGGAAUUCCCAGUGUAGAGGUGAAAUUCGUAGAUAUUGGGAAGAACACCGGUGGCGAAGGCGGCUAUCUGGACCGACAUUGACGCUGAGGCGCGAAAGCGUGGGGAGCAAACAGGAUUAGAUACCCUGGUAGUCCACGCCGUAAACGAUGAGUGCUAGACGUUGGGGAGCUUAGCUCUUCAGUGUCGCAGCUAACGCAUUAAGCACUCCGCCUGGGGAGUACGGCCGCAAGGUUA